GCCGGGUGUGGUGGCCCACACCUCUAAUCCCAGCAGCUCAGGAGGCCGAGGCAGGAGUAUCACAAGUUUGAGGCCAGCCUCAG
RNAcentral lists this small RNA (83 nucleotides) under Marmota monax (woodchuck). Lineage: Eukaryota; Metazoa; Chordata; Mammalia; Rodentia; Sciuridae. The record is from RNAcentral.